Molecule: unclassified non-coding RNA, 329 nt
Filed under: soil metagenome
Description: partial contains 5.8S ribosomal RNA, internal transcribed spacer 2, and large subunit ribosomal RNA
Rfam family: 5.8S ribosomal RNA (bases 1-120)
Source: RNAcentral
GAUGAAGAACGUAGCGAAAUGCGAUAAGUAGUGUGAAUUGCAGAAUUCAGUGAAUCAUCGAAUCUUUGAACGCACAUUGCGCCCCUUGGUAUCCCGAGGGGCAUGCUUGUUCGAGCGUCAUUUCACCACUCAAGCCUGGCUUGGUGUUGGGCGACGUCCCCUUUGGGGACGCGCCUCGAAACGCUCGGCGGCGUGGCACCGGCUUUAAGCGUAGCAGAAUCUUUCGCUUUGGAAGUCGGGGCCCCGUCUGCCGGAAGACCUACUCGCAAGGUUGACCUCGGAUCAGGCAGGGAUACCCGCUGAACUUAAGCAUAUCAAUAAGCGGAGGA